UCAAUUCUUGACAUGGGAAGUCAGCUGGUCUGAGAGCUACUGUAUUGUACUGAGGAGGCUGAACAAGGUGAAGCAGUUCAAUACAGCGGUUAAGAUGAUUUCUGGAAUGAGAGCACAUCAUUUGAAAAUCUGACUCUGCCCAUUCACAUCCAGUAACUCUGGAUCACCUUCAUGAUUCAGCUGAAAUAAAUCCAGUGAUAAAGGAGUUGUAAAUUUCAUGCCAAGAAAAGUGAGCCGUCUCCAGAGUGUCUCAUGCAUCGCUGACUCUGCUCCCUCUUUGUUGCCACCAUUAAUCUUCAUUUAUACUUGCAUAGUGAUUGUCAAGCUCUAUUUUAAUAAACUUUAUAUGUCUCUCCCUAACAUUAAAAGUGAUUUAUUUCUUGUAAAUAAGUGGCUCUGGCAAGCUGUGUUUGGAAAAAAUGUUGCUGAACAGGCAGCACUGGAACUGUAAAGCAAAUAUGGCAUUUUUCCAAGGAUUAGUCUCAGUUACAUAAUGCUGUGUGAAAAUAGACGGACUGAAGUGGCUAUUUACUGUAUGAUUCCAUUUAUAUGAUAUUCUUGCAAGGCGAUAUAUCUGCUCAGAGAACACGUAACUAGAUUCCAGGGGCUGACAAUGGGAUAUUUGUUGAUUCCAAAUGAACGAAGAAAUAUUAAUACAUUUUGGGAUGAGAUAUAUACUGUAUACUCUCCUUAUAGAGGUAGGUGCACACUGAUUAUGUUCAUGAAAACUCUCAAAACUAUACAUAAAAGGGUACAUUUAGUGUAUGGAAAUUAUGUUAUUUUCAAAG
Molecule: long non-coding RNA, 788 nt
Organism: Bubalus bubalis (water buffalo)
Lineage: Eukaryota; Metazoa; Chordata; Mammalia; Artiodactyla; Bovidae
Exons: 2
Source: RefSeq, a predicted model, not a curated record